CAAAUUAGAGCUUGAGAAAGUAUUUCAUUUACAUUGAAAAGAAAUUAAAAUUUAAUUAAUUUGA
RNAcentral lists this transfer RNA (64 nucleotides) under Pidorus glaucopis. RNAcentral's name for it is "transfer RNA-Val (GUN)". RNAcentral also lists the same sequence under 1 other name. The record is from RNAcentral. Lineage: Eukaryota; Metazoa; Arthropoda; Insecta; Lepidoptera; Zygaenidae.